AACGAACGCUGGCGGCGUGCCUAACACAUGCAAGUCGAACGAGAAAGCUCCUUCGGGAGUGAGUAGAGUGGCGCACGGGUGAGUAACACGUGGAUAAUCUGCCUGAUAAUCUGGGAUAACAUUUCGAAAGGAAUGCUAAUACCGGAUAAGCCCACAGCCUCUUCGGAGGCAGCGGGAAAAGAUGGCCUCUUCUUGAAAGCUAUUGUUAUCAGAUGAGUCCGCGGUCCAUUAGCUAGUUGGUAGGGUAAUGGCCUACCAAGGCGACGAUGGAUAGCUGGUUUGAGAGAAUGAUCAGCCACACUGGAACUGAGACACGGUCCAG
RNAcentral lists this ribosomal RNA (322 nucleotides) under uncultured Desulfuromonas sp. RNAcentral describes it as "bacterial SSU rRNA". It matches the Rfam family "Bacterial small subunit ribosomal RNA", at positions 29 to 334 of the family's 1533-position model. Lineage: Bacteria; Pseudomonadati; Thermodesulfobacteriota; Desulfuromonadia; Desulfuromonadales; Desulfuromonadaceae. The record is from RNAcentral.